This 503-nucleotide ribosomal RNA is filed under the name uncultured microorganism. Its description in RNAcentral is "bacterial SSU rRNA". It matches the Rfam family "Bacterial small subunit ribosomal RNA", at positions 9 to 503 of the family's 1533-position model. The record is from RNAcentral.
GAGUUUGAUCGUGGCUCAGGAUGAACGCCGGCGGUGUGCCUAAUACAUGCAAGUCGUACGCACUGGCCCAACUGAUUGAUGGUGCUUGCACCUGAUCGACGAUGGAUCACCAGUGAGUGGCGGACGGUGAGUAACACGUAGGUAACCUGCCCUGUACAGGGGAUAACAAUCAGAAAUGACUGCUAAUACCGCAUAAGACCACAGCACCGCAUGGUGCAGGGGUAAAAACUCCGGUGGUACAGGAUGGACCCGCGUCUGAUUAGCUGGUUGGUGAGGUAACGGCUCACCAAGGCGACGAUCAGUAGCCGGCUUGAGAGAGUGAACGGCCACAUUGGGACUGAGACACGGCCCAAACUCCUACGGGAGGCAGCAGUGGGGAAUAUUGCACAAUGGGGAAACCCUGAUGCAGCAACGCCGCGUGAGUGAAGAAGUAUUUCGGUAUGUAAAGCUCUAUCAGCAGGGAAGAAAGUGACGGUACCUGACUAAGAAGCCCCGGCUAACUA